RNAcentral lists this ribosomal RNA (426 nucleotides) under Stiliger fuscovittatus. RNAcentral describes it as "partial 16S ribosomal RNA". It matches the Rfam family "Bacterial large subunit ribosomal RNA", at positions 1832 to 2596 of the family's 2925-position model. The record is from RNAcentral. Lineage: Eukaryota; Metazoa; Mollusca; Gastropoda; Limapontiidae.
AGCCUUAAGUUCUAUUUUACCUGAAGCCUGCCCAGUGCUUAGUGUUAACGGCCGCAGUACCUUGACUGUGCUAAGGUAGCAUAAUCAGUUGGCUUUUAAAUGGAGUCGGGAAUGAAUGGACUAAUGGAGUGAAGCUGUCUCCCUUAUAUUAUAUCUAAUUUACUUAUCAAGUGAAAAUGCUUGAGUCAAGAAAAAAGACGAGAAGACCCUAGGAGUUUUUAUUAAAAGCUACACUGUAGCUUAAGUUUUUGUUGGGGCGACAUUGGAGUAUUAAAACCUCCAUUCUUAAAUAAGCCGACUAUGUAUGAGAAAUUAAACUACCCUAGGGAUAACAGCGUAAUUCUUUUGAGCUUGCGACCUCGAUGUUGGACUAGGAAUUUGGUGGGCUAGCCGCCUACUUAUAUUGUUCUGUUCAACUAUUUUUCC